This 378-nucleotide ribosomal RNA is filed under the name uncultured bacterium. Its description in RNAcentral is "bacterial SSU rRNA". It matches the Rfam family "Bacterial small subunit ribosomal RNA", at positions 28 to 417 of the family's 1533-position model. The record is from RNAcentral.
GAUUAACGCUGGCGGCGUGCCUAACACAUGCAAGUCGAACGAGGUAGCAAUACCUAGUGGCAGACGGGUGAGUAACGCGUGGUCAACCUACCGUUGAGUGGGGGAUAACUAGCCGAAAGGUUAGCUAAUACCGCAUACGUCUCCGAGAGGCAUCUCUUGGCGAUAAAAGGAGCAAUCCGCUCGAUGACGGGACCGCGUCCCAUUAGCUAGAUGGUGGGGUAACGGCCUACCANGGCUCCGAUGGGUAGCUGGUUUGAGAGAGCGACCAGCCACACUGGGACUGAGAAACGGCCCAGACUCCCACGGGAGGCAGCAGUGAGGAAUUUCCGCAAUGGGCGAAAGCCUGACGGAGCGACGCCGCGUGUGGGAAGAAGGCCU